GAAUUGUUGGUUUAUGGUGGAAUUGGACAUACACCUCUCUUCCUCUUUCAAAACCCCUAAAACCUGUUUUCGGUGGGGUUUGGGUGCAUGCCAGUUGUGGGAAGUAGCACCCCGGCCACUAUAAGGAUUAAGCUCGGGCCUCUGUUGCAAAGCACUACCGUACUUCCACAUGUCUAGUGGGUAAGGCUUAGUUUGUGGCUCAGUCUAGUCAUAAACAAAAGUACACGGAUUGGAGAUGGAUGAAGUCGGGGGUCGAUGGACAUUCUCCAGGGCAAAUGAAGGCUACACGAGCUGCGGCCCGGUAGUCGAGAUGUCAUGGCACAGGGCCGGUGUCCUGCUGCUAGGGGCUCAGU
Molecule: unclassified non-coding RNA, 353 nt
Filed under: Hevea brasiliensis (rubber tree)
Lineage: Eukaryota; Viridiplantae; Streptophyta; Magnoliopsida; Malpighiales; Euphorbiaceae
Source: RNAcentral